RNAcentral lists this ribosomal RNA (301 nucleotides) under uncultured bacterium. Its description in RNAcentral is "partial 16S ribosomal RNA". It matches the Rfam family "Bacterial small subunit ribosomal RNA", at positions 509 to 809 of the family's 1533-position model. The record is from RNAcentral.
CAGUCGCCACGGGAAUGCGAAGGUGGCUAGCGUUGUUCGGAUUUACUGGGCGUAAAGGGCGCGUAGGCGGGCGAAUAAGUCAGGGGUGAAAUCCCAAGGCUCAACCUUGGAACUGCCUUUGAUACUGUUUGUCUUGAGUUCGAGAGAGGUAAGUGGAACUGCGAGUGUAGAGGUGAAAUUCGUAGAUAUUCGCAAGAACACCAGUGGCGAAGGCGGCUUACUGGCUCGAAACUGACGCUGAGGCGCGAAAGCGUGGGGAGCAAACAGGAUUAGAUACCCCCGUAGUCCCUGUCUCUUAUAA